Molecule: ribosomal RNA, 253 nt
Filed under: uncultured bacterium
Lineage: Bacteria
Description: partial 16S ribosomal RNA
Rfam family: Bacterial small subunit ribosomal RNA
Source: RNAcentral
UACGAAGGGUGCAAGCGUUAAUCGGAAUUACUGGGCGUAAAGCGUGCGUAGGUGGUCUUUUAAGUCCGUUGUGAAAGCCCUGGGCUCAACCUGGGAAUGGCAGUGGAUACUGGAAGGCUGGAGUACGGUAGAGGAGGGUGGAAUUCCCGGUGUAGCGGUGAAAUGCGUAGAUAUCUGGAGGAAUACCGGUGGCGAAGGCGGCAUCCUGGACCGACAUUGACGCUGAACGGCGAAAGCUAGGGGAGCAAACGGG